This is a long non-coding RNA of Gossypium arboreum, 305 nucleotides long. RefSeq lists it as uncharacterized. The transcript is spliced from 2 exons. The record is from RefSeq and is a predicted model, not a curated record. Lineage: Eukaryota; Viridiplantae; Streptophyta; Magnoliopsida; Malvales; Malvaceae.
AAGGUACCUUUCUUGGCUAACCCUUUCGCUUUAUGGCAUACUCGUUUGGGUUGGGCGUCGGCUAAGAGUGCUCGGAGCGUGGAUUAACUCCAGUCUCCAAUCAGGUAAUUUCCAGCCUUAGACGGAUCGGGGCUGCGAGGGGCUCGGAGGAAGCCACACACACUGUUUAUGUUACAGUUUUGAUUAUUACUUUUAAAUGUUUUUAUGAGGGUUAUAGUAAAGCCGUUGUAAUUUUCUGGAUUUCAAAUUUGGAAUUUUAUUUAUUGUUCUUAUAAUUACUAGUAUUAGAACACGGUUUUCCAAAG